GUGGGGAAUCUUGCGCAAUGCGCGAAAGCGUGACGCAGCCAUGCCGCGUGGGGGAAGACGGCCUUCGGGUUGUAAACCCCUUUCAGUUGGGACGAAGCUCAGGCGGUGAAAAGCCGCGUGGAGUGACGGUACCUUCAGAAGAAGCCCCGGCUAACUACGUGCCAGCAGCCGCGGUAAUACGUAGGGGGCAAGCGUUGUCCGGAAUCAUUGGGCGUAAAGAGCGUGUAGGCGGCUUGACAAGUCCGCUGUGAAAGUCCAGGGCUCAACCCUGGAAUGCCGGUGGAAACUGUCGAGCUAGAGUCCGGAAGAGGCGAGUGGAACUCCUGGUGUAGCGGUGAAAUGCGCAGAUAUCAGGAAGAACACCAAUGGCGAAGGCAGCUCGCUGGGACGUGACUGACGCUGAGACGCGAAAGCGUGGGGAGCAAACAGG
This 430-nucleotide ribosomal RNA is filed under the name uncultured Conexibacter sp. Its description in RNAcentral is "bacterial SSU rRNA". It matches the Rfam family "Bacterial small subunit ribosomal RNA", at positions 354 to 776 of the family's 1533-position model. The record is from RNAcentral. Lineage: Bacteria; Bacillati; Actinomycetota; Thermoleophilia; Solirubrobacterales; Conexibacteraceae.